RNAcentral lists this ribosomal RNA (463 nucleotides) under uncultured bacterium. RNAcentral's name for it is "bacterial SSU rRNA". It matches the Rfam family "Bacterial small subunit ribosomal RNA", at positions 28 to 508 of the family's 1533-position model. The record is from RNAcentral.
GACGAACGCUGGCGGCGUGCUUAACACAUGCAAGUCGAACGGAAAGGCCCUUCGGGGUACUCGAGUGGCGAACGGGUGAGUAACACGUGGGUGAUCUGCCCUGCACUUUGGGAUAAGCCUGGGAAACUGGGUCUAAUACCGGAUAGGACCACGCGCUUCAUGGUGUGUGGUGGAAAGCUUUUGCGGUGUGGGAUGGGCCCGCGGCCUAUCAGCUUGUUGGUGGGGUAAUGGCCUACUAAGGCGACGACGGGUAGCCGGCCUGAGAGGGUGACCGGCCACACUGGGACUGAGAUACGGCCCAGACUCCUACGGGAGGCAGCAGUGGGGAAUAUUGCACAAUGGGCGCAAGCCUGAUGCAGCGACGCCGCGUGAGGGAUGACGGCCUUCGGGUUGUAAACCUCUUUCAAUAGGGACGAAGCGCAAGUGACGGUACCUAUAGAAGAAGGACCGGCCAACUACGUGC